Molecule: transfer RNA, 73 nt
Filed under: Lentibacillus halophilus
Lineage: Bacteria; Bacillati; Bacillota; Bacilli; Caryophanales; Bacillaceae
Also listed under: 6 other names
Description: tRNA-Phe
Rfam family: tRNA
About the family: Transfer RNA (tRNA) molecules are approximately 80 nucleotides in length. Their secondary structure includes four short double-helical elements and three loops (D, anti-codon, and T loops).
Source: RNAcentral
GGCUCGAUAGCUCAGUCGGUAGAGCAACGGACUGAAAAUCCGUGUGUCGGCGGUUCGAUUCCGUCUCGAGCCA